UGCGGCCGGAAAUUUUGAUGCNGACNACCCCGCGUGGGGGAUGACGGCCUUCGGGUUGUAAUUUCCUUUCGACAGGGACGAAGCGCAUGUGACGGUACCUGUAUAAGAAGGGACCGGNUAACUACGUGCCACCAGCAGCGUAAUACGUAGGGUGCUAGCGUUGUCCUGAAUUACUGGGCGUAAAGAGCUCCUAGGUGGUUUGUCGCGUGUAAAUGUGAAAUUUCUGGGCUUAACUUCUGGCUUGCAGGCUGAUACGGGCAUAANUUGAGUGCUGUAGGGGAGACUGGAAUUCCUGGUGUAGCNGUGAAAUGC
RNAcentral lists this ribosomal RNA (312 nucleotides) under uncultured bacterium. RNAcentral's name for it is "bacterial SSU rRNA". It matches the Rfam family "Bacterial small subunit ribosomal RNA", at positions 350 to 689 of the family's 1533-position model. The record is from RNAcentral.